GUAGCAGCAGUAGUAAGUAGGGUAGCUGCGUAAUUGAUUACCCGCUUGAGAGAAAGGCUGAAAAAACCUUUUGAAACUACAUCUCUCUGUUGACUCCACUCCUUCGUUUUCUGCGGUUGCCCAAAGACUGCAGGUGCAGAAAGUUAAUAGAUCCUUUUUCAAUUGAAAGAGGAUGGGAAAGAAAGAAGCAUAGAACUUCUGACCAAGCCAUCAAAUGAAGAGCUAAAACCACAUGCAAUGAGGCCAACACCUACAAUCGGCUAAUCACUGUGAAUGUAAGUUGUAUGGAUUGUACAGGUUUAGAAAACAAGUCAACUCUUUAGGGACUCCAUGUUCUCCAUACUUGGACUUGCCUUCAACUCUAGACUAGAAUUGUAAGUUUGUAGGCCCUUGGGGAAGGGAAAGCCAAAAGAAAGUUGAGUUUCUUGAGUAUUGACCAGCCUGAAGUUCUUUCUCUUCCUUAAGGAAUUCUCAAUACACAGUAGCUCUUGGAAUUGGAAAUCUUUGAACAUAUUCCUUGGUGAGGUGGGUCCAGCAGA
Non-coding RNA from Phascolarctos cinereus (koala), 539 nucleotides. The record is from RefSeq and is a predicted model, not a curated record. Lineage: Eukaryota; Metazoa; Chordata; Mammalia; Diprotodontia; Phascolarctidae.